This 344-nucleotide long non-coding RNA is filed under the name Elaeis guineensis (African oil palm). Its description in RNAcentral is "long non-coding RNA (EGUI_LNC014863)". The record is from RNAcentral. Lineage: Eukaryota; Viridiplantae; Streptophyta; Magnoliopsida; Arecales; Arecaceae.
UCUCCCCUCCUCUUAAGAAAAAAGGUUCAAGCUUAAGGUUAUGUCCCUAAACGAAAACCCAAUUGGAGGGACAAGUACGGCAACCCUGAGCUAUGCCUCCAAACUGCUUGGCUUUGGGAUUAAGCUAUGAGUCUAGGGUCAAGUAGCCGUUGGGAACCCAGUCCCAAGAUCUGGCCGCCUUUGCAUCUUCCAUGGGUCCCACCUCGUGCUGAGAUUCUUGGGCGGUGAUGGAUCCCAGCGCUGGGUCGCUGCCGUGGGUCCGGAUAGAGCCCUGGGUGAGGUCCACUUACAAAGGAAGUGGGAUGGAUGUGGGGCCAUUUCGGGUCCCUCAGCCCAAAGACUGU